RNAcentral lists this non-coding RNA (86 nucleotides) under Allokutzneria albata. RNAcentral describes it as "ZTP sequence". It matches the Rfam family "ZMP/ZTP riboswitch aptamer (pfl RNA motif)". Rfam says of the family: Previously known as pfl RNA. ZMP is also known as AICAR. Lineage: Bacteria; Bacillati; Actinomycetota; Actinomycetes; Pseudonocardiales; Pseudonocardiaceae. The record is from Rfam by way of RNAcentral.
GCGCGUGUUCGCGACUGGCGCGCCGAGGGUGGGAUCAACCACUGGGGAGCGGGAGCCGGAGAGCACCGCGCGCCUGGGUGCCCCGG